GGGGAGCACCCGGAUUAGAUAGCCAUGGUAGUAUCAAGCCGUGAAAUGCUGUGGCGCGUAGGGUUGGAUCUUCAUUUCUCUCACGAUCACGUGUAGCAGAUCAAUGCAUUAAGUGCUCUCGCCUCGCGCGCAGUACGGCCCGCAAGGUCUAUAAACUCAAAAGGAAUAGAAUGCGGGGCCCCGCACAAGCUGCUGGAGCAUGCUGAUUAAUUUGAUGCCAACGUGAAGAACCUUACAAGGCCUGACCUGCACCCGGAUAGCCUUAGAGAUGGGGUUUCCUUCUGGCCAGGGGCACAGAGGUGCAUGGUUGUGGUCAGAUAUGUCGUGAGAUGUUGGGUUAAGUCCCCGCAACGAGAGCAACCCUCGUUAUAUGUGGCCAGCACAUGAUGGUGGGGACUCAUAGGAGACUGCCGGGGUCAACUCGGAGGAAGGUGGGGAUGACGUCAAAUCAUCAUGCCCUUAUGUCUUGGGCUUCAAGCAUGCUACAAUGGCCGGUACAGAGGGUGUUGUGCCAUCAGGUCGAGCGAGUCCCCUCAACCGGUGUCAGUUCGGAUUGAGUUGUGCAACUAGGUCCCAAGAAGGCGG
Molecule: ribosomal RNA, 585 nt
Filed under: Kytococcus sedentarius
Lineage: Bacteria; Bacillati; Actinomycetota; Actinomycetes; Micrococcales; Kytococcaceae
Description: bacterial SSU rRNA
Rfam family: Bacterial small subunit ribosomal RNA
Source: RNAcentral